CGUAUCGCGCUGGGAGAAGCCACAUCGUUGUGGUGCCGAAGGAGCAACCGCCCCGGAAACUCUCAGGCAAAAGGACCAGCGCGAGGUU
Molecule: regulatory RNA element, 88 nt
Rfam family: Glycine riboswitch aptamer
About the family: This family represents the bacterial glycine riboswitch. Glycine riboswitches usually consist of two metabolite-binding aptamers domains with similar structures in tandem.
Source: Rfam